CCUACGGGAGGCAGCAGUGGGGAAUAUUGCACAAUGGGCGGAAGCCUGAUGCAGCGACGCCGCGUGAGGGAUGAAGGCCUUCGGGUUGUAAACCUCUUUCAGCAGGGACGAAGCGUGAGUGACGGUACCUGCAGAAGAAGCACCGGCUAACUACGUGCCAGCAGCCGCGGUAAUACGUAGGGUGCGAGCGUUGUCCGGAAUUACUGGGCGUAAAGAGUUCGUAGGCGGUUUGUCGCGUCGUUUGUGAAAACCCGGGGCUCAACUUCGGGCUUGCAGGCGAUACGGGCAGACUUGAGUGUUUCAGGGGAGACUGGAAUUCCUGGUGUAGCGGUGAAAUGCGCAGAUAUCAGGAGGAACACCGGUGGCGAAGGCGGGUCUCUGGGAAACAACUGACGCUGAGGAACGAAAGCGUGGGUAGCAAACAGGAUUAGAUACCCUGGUAGUCCACGCCGUAAACGGUGGCGCUAGGUGUGGGUUCCUUCCACGGGAUCUGUGCCGUAGCUAACGCAUUAAGCGCCCCGCCUGGGGAGGUACGGCGCGAGACGUAACUACAAGAAGUAGACGGCGNGAGACGNGCCGACGACGACGACGAGGGAGUAGG
Molecule: ribosomal RNA, 601 nt
Filed under: uncultured bacterium
Lineage: Bacteria
Description: bacterial SSU rRNA
Rfam family: Bacterial small subunit ribosomal RNA (bases 1-523)
Source: RNAcentral